AUGGGCCCUGUUCCACCCGCAGACUCCCCCAACCCUGUUACGUACAGACGGCGCGGCCUGGCUCUACACCCCCCCAUCUACAGUGCAGCUGAAGAUUCAGCUGAAGCUGCCCCGCUGCCCGGCAAAGAUCAUGGGACCAACAGCGAUAAUCGACAUUCCAGCUGCAAGGCCCGGACUCUUGCUCCAAAUUGGAAGGAGAAGCCCUCUGUUCCUAGAGAUGCUCCCAGAGACAGUCCUAGAGAUGAAGAUGAGGAGGACCCUUUUGCUCCCAGGGAAGGGGGAGGACCUCUAUUCCUAGAGAUGAAGAUGCUCCCAGAGAUGGGUGAAGAGAACCUUUUGUUUUUGAACAACUCAACCUUAAAAUGGUGCUCCAGUAGCUCAAGAUUGGACCCUCGAAAGCAGUUGUGGGAAAAGCCGUAAGUCGUGGGAGGGGACACUCACAUGCGAGCAGAGAACCAACCCGGGCGGCUGUCUCACUGUGAUACUGAAGCCAUGAGAGAAUUUCUUGUGGAGAUGUCUCCACAGCAUGAGCAAGAGAGACUCCUCUCCCUAAGUGAACUGAACAAGGUUAUUAUGGAAGUGGUAAACUGACUGAACAUCUCAAGGGUUGUCUUUUUACGUUGUCAGUGGGAGAAGGGAGAAAGGUGGGGGGAGGAGAAGAGUUCCAAAGGUGUGGUCUGAUUUUUUUUUCUUUCUUUUAGGUCUGUUAAUAAACUUCUUUAUAUUCUUUUAAGUUUUGUGCCUGCUUUGCUUUCUCCUAAUUCUUAUCUCACAGAAGGUAAACAGUAGUGAGUAUUUUGGACCAAACCACUACAAUGAGUUACCAGAUGAAGCAGGAGCAGCACAUCAAACACUCUCAGGCAGGCAGAAGAGGGUUCUCUCACUGCAAGCCUUCCCUGUCCAAUAAAUCGUGGCCUGCUUUUCCAGAGGUCUUCUGAACAACACAAACCCAUGUGGAAACCAGCCCAUUCAGGGCUCCGAGGUGAGCUGAUGUUGCAAAAUAUGGGAUAAGGGAUGUACUCCGUGAAAACCCAACCAUUUAAAAAUCCAGAGAAAGCCUCACACCAAGUUUAUCGCACACCACAAAGAACAAUGGAAGAUCACCGCCCUCCUUUGGAAUUGGACUUCAGUGGUCCUUGUGGGAUAUUCUGUGAUUCACCUCCAUCUGCCCAAGAGGUGGAAACCUGUAGAACACCAGGAAUCAGCCUUGAAACACUGAAUACUCAGAAAAGAGUUCACUGGGAAAUGGAGGUGCCAUUCACUGGGGUUGUUGUCUGCCAGGAGCAAGGCGGAGAAGGAAAACCCUGUGACCAGUGAAAAACCCUUUUGCCAACUCUCUUUACUGAGCACAUUUGUUAGCAAGACUUUGGAGAAUAAAUAGUUUAUGAAGAGGACUCAGGUUUUCAUCUGAUAAUGUCACACAAAUCUUCCCUGUCAGGGGCUCAGUCCCUGUGAAAUGUGGGACUUGGGAGAUGUGGAAUAGAGACACAACUGCUCAGUGGGGAAUCACGGAAUGGUUUGGGUUUGAAAAGACCUUAAAACCCAUCCAGUUCCACCCCCUGCCACGGGCAGGGACACCUUCUACUAUCCCAGGCUGCUCCAAGCCCUGUUCAACCUGGCCUUGGACACUCCAGGGAUCCAGGGGCAGCCACAGCUUCUCUGGGCACCCUGUGCCAGGGCCUCGCCACCCUCACAUCCCAGAGUUUCCCCCUCAGUAUCUCAUCUACAUCUCCCUUCUUUCAUUUUAAGGCCAUUCCCCCUUGUCCCAUCUCUCCAUGCCCUUGUAAAGUCCCUCUCCAGCCUUCUGUGGAGUCCCCUUUAGGUACUGGAAGUCUGUAAUUCCUAAUGUUCCAGGGAAACACUGGAUUUCAUCGGGCUUGAAGAGUGUAAUGACCCAACCUGAGAAAAGCCUGCUAAAAACAUAUCCAUGCAUUCCAUGAACUCUGCGAGGUCUCACAGACCUAAACCUCUCAUCUCCCAAGUGCUUUGUUCAAUUAACCUCAAAACUCACACUAAAAUAAAGCUGACUUUUGGCAGAAGACCUCGGGGGAAAACAUCAGGGCAGAGAAGUUGAGAUGCAUUUAAAAUGAAAUCUAAACUGCCCACCUGUGCAAAACAGAGCUGCUACCACAGCUGUAAAGUCAUUUAUCAACUUCUGGGAGCUUCCAGGAACAGGCAGCACCUUUCCCACAGCCUCUCCAGCCUCUCCCAGCUGUGCAG
Corvus moneduloides (New Caledonian crow) is the source of this 2220-nucleotide long non-coding RNA. Lineage: Eukaryota; Metazoa; Chordata; Aves; Passeriformes; Corvidae. The record is from Ensembl.